RNAcentral lists this ribosomal RNA (305 nucleotides) under uncultured bacterium. RNAcentral's name for it is "bacterial SSU rRNA". It matches the Rfam family "Bacterial small subunit ribosomal RNA", at positions 335 to 633 of the family's 1533-position model. The record is from RNAcentral.
GUCCUACGGGGGGCAGCAGUGGGGAAUAUUGCGCAAUGGGGGAAACCCUGACGCAGCAACGCCGCGUGAGUGAAGAAGGCCUUCGGGUUGUAAAAUUCUGUUAUAAGGGAAGAAAGGUGAUAGGAGGAAAUGACUAUCAAUUGACGGUACCUUAUGAGAAAGCCACGGCUAACUACGUGCCAGCAGCCGCGGUAAUACGUAGGUGGCAAGCGUUAUCCGGAAUUAUUGGGCGUAAAGAGCGCGCAGGUGGUUAAUUAAGUCUGAUGUGAAAGCCCACGGCUUAACCGUGGAGGGUCAUUGGAAAC